AUUGAACGCUGGCGGAAUGCUUUACACAUGCAAGUCGAACGGUAGAGGGGGCAACCCCUCGAGAGUGGCGAACGGGUGAGUAAUAUAUCGGAACGUGCCCAGUCGUGGGGGAUAACGUAGCGAAAGUUACGCUAAUACCGCAUACGAUCUAAGGAUGAAAGCGGGGGAUCGCAAGACCUCGCGCGAUUGGAGCGGCCGAUAGCAGAUUAGGUAGUUGGUGGGGUAAAGGCUCACCAAGCCAACGAUCUGUAGCUGGUCUGAGAGGACGACCAGCCACAAUGGAACUGAGGCACGGUCCAGGCUCCUACGGGAGGCAGCAGUGGGGAAUUUUGGACAAUGGACGCAAGUCUGAUCCAGCCAUUCCGCGUGCAGGAUGAAGGCCCUCGGGUUGUAAACUGCUUUUGUACGGAACGAAAAGGUCUCUCUUAAUACGGGGGGCUCAUGACGGUACCGUAAGAAUAAGCACCGGCUAACUACGUGCCAGCCGCCGCGGUAA
Molecule: ribosomal RNA, 496 nt
Filed under: uncultured bacterium
Lineage: Bacteria
Description: partial 16S ribosomal RNA
Rfam family: Bacterial small subunit ribosomal RNA
Source: RNAcentral